RNAcentral lists this ribosomal RNA (213 nucleotides) under uncultured bacterium. Its description in RNAcentral is "partial 16S ribosomal RNA". It matches the Rfam family "Bacterial small subunit ribosomal RNA", at positions 137 to 334 of the family's 1533-position model. The record is from RNAcentral.
ACUGGGAUAACUGGCCGAAAGGCUUGCUAAUACCAGAUAAGCCCACGAGCUCAGAGGAGCACGAGGGAAAAGGCGGCCUCUGUAAACAAGCUGUCACAUUGAGAUGGGUCCGCGGCCCAUCAGCUAGUUGGCGGGGUAACGGCCCACCAAGGCGAAGACGGGUAGCUGGUCUGAGAGGAUGAUCAGCCACACUGGAACUGAGACACGGUCCAG